Molecule: ribosomal RNA, 497 nt
Filed under: uncultured bacterium
Lineage: Bacteria
Description: partial 16S ribosomal RNA
Rfam family: Bacterial small subunit ribosomal RNA
Source: RNAcentral
GAUGAACGCUGGCGGCGUGCCUAAUACAUGCAAGUCGAGCGAACAGACGAGGAGCUUGCUCCUCUGACGUUAGCGGCGGACGGGUGAGUAACACGUGGAUAACCUACCUAUAAGACUGGGAUAACUUCGGGAAACCGGAGCUAAUACCGGAUAAUAUAUUGAACCGCAUGGUUCAAUAGUGAAAGACGGUUUUGCUGUCACUUAUAGAUGGAUCCGCGCCGCAUUAGCUAGUUGGUAAGGUAACGGCUUACCAAGGCAACGAUGCGUAGCCGACCUGAGAGGGUGAUCGGCCACACUGGAACUGAGACACGGUCCAGACUCCUACGGGAGGCAGCAGUAGGGACUCUUCCGCAAUGGGCGAAAGCCUGACGGAGCAACGCCGCGUGAGUGAUGAAGGUCUUCGGAUCGUAAAACUCUGUUAUUAGGGAAGAACAAAUGUGUAAGUAACUAUGCACGUCUUGACGGUACCUAAUCAGAAAGCCCCGGCUAACUACGUG